RNAcentral lists this ribosomal RNA (464 nucleotides) under uncultured bacterium. RNAcentral describes it as "partial 16S ribosomal RNA". It matches the Rfam family "Bacterial small subunit ribosomal RNA", at positions 339 to 795 of the family's 1533-position model. The record is from RNAcentral.
CUACGGGUUGCACCAGUGGGGAAUAUUGCACAAUGGGCGCAAGCCUGAUGCAGCCAUGCCGCGUGUAUGAAGAAGGCCUUCGGGUUGUAAAGUACUUUCGGCGGGGAGGAAGGGAGUAAAGUUAAUACCUUUGCUCAUUGACGUUACCCGCAGAAGAAGCACCGGCUAACUCCGGGCCAGCAGCCGCGGUAAUACGGAGGGUGCAAGCGUUAAUCGGAAUUACUGGGCGUAAAGCGCACGCAGGCGGUUUGUUAAGUCAGAUGUGAAAUCCCCGGGCUCAACCUGGGAACUGCAUCUGAUACUGGCAAGCUUGAGUCUCGUAGAGGGGGGUAGAAUUCCAGGUGUAGCGGUGAAAUGCGUAGAGAUCUGGAGGAAUACCGGUGGCGAAGGCGGCCCCCUGGACGAAGACUGACGCUCAGGUGCGAAAGCGUGGGGAGCAAACAGGAUUAGAUACCCCGGUAGUC